UUGAGCCGAGUGCUUGGAAACUUGCACGCUCGGUUCUUAGGGAAGAAGGGAGCAGCAAUGCUCCUGCCUUACCCGAC
This is a non-coding RNA of Stanieria cyanosphaera PCC 7437, 77 nucleotides long. NCBI's taxonomy places the organism in Bacteria, Bacillati, Cyanobacteriota, Cyanophyceae, Pleurocapsales, Dermocarpellaceae. The record is from Rfam.